UUCUUGUGUUCUAGCUGGGGGU
RNAcentral lists this microRNA (22 nucleotides) under Physcomitrium patens. Its description in RNAcentral is "ppt-miR1057". The record is from miRBase by way of RNAcentral. Lineage: Eukaryota; Viridiplantae; Streptophyta; Bryopsida; Funariales; Funariaceae.